This 855-nucleotide ribosomal RNA is filed under the name Halomonas sp. TM1S2. RNAcentral's name for it is "bacterial SSU rRNA". It matches the Rfam family "Bacterial small subunit ribosomal RNA", at positions 37 to 887 of the family's 1533-position model. Lineage: Bacteria; Pseudomonadati; Pseudomonadota; Gammaproteobacteria; Oceanospirillales; Halomonadaceae. The record is from RNAcentral.
GGGCGGAUUGCGGGCCUACCAUGCAAGUCGAGCGGUAACAGGGGGAGCUUGCACCCCGCUGACGAGCGGCGGACGGGUGAGUAAUGCAUAGGAAUCUGCCCGAUAGUGGGGGAUAACCUGGGGAAACCCAGGCUAAUACCGCAUACGUCCUACGGGAGAAAGGGGGCUCCGGCUCCCGCUAUCGGAUGAGCCUAUGUCGGAUUAGCUGGUUGGUGAGGUAAAGGCUCACCAAGGCGACGAUCCGUAGCUGGUCUGAGAGGAUGAUCAGCCACAUCGGGACUGAGACACGGCCCGAACUCCUACGGGAGGCAGCAGUGGGGAAUAUUGGACAAUGGGGGCAACCCUGAUCCAGCCAUGCCGCGUGUGUGAAGAAGGCCCUCGGGUUGUAAAGCACUUUCAGUGAGGAAGAACGCCUGGUGGUUAAUACCCAUCAGGAAAGACAUCACUCACAGAAGAAGCACCGGCUAACUCCGUGCCAGCAGCCGCGGUAAUACGGAGGGUGCGAGCGUUAAUCGGAAUUACUGGGCGUAAAGCGCGCGUAGGUGGCUUGAUAAGCCGGUUGUGAAAGCCCCGGGCUCAACCUGGGAACGGCAUCCGGAACUGUCAAGCUAGAGUGCAGGAGAGGAAGGUAGAAUUCCCGGUGUAGCGGUGAAAUGCGUAGAGAUCGGGAGGAAUACCAGUGGCGAAGGCGGCCUUCUGGACUGACACUGACACUGAGGUGCGAAAGCGUGGGUAGCAAACAGGAUUAGAUACCCUGGUAGUCCACGCCGUAAACGAUGUCGACCAGCCGUUGGGUGCCUAGCGCACUUUGUGGCGAAGUUAACGCGAUAAGUCGACCGCCUGGGGAGUACGGCC